RNAcentral lists this long non-coding RNA (246 nucleotides) under Brassica napus (rape). RNAcentral describes it as "long non-coding RNA (BNAP_LNC014956)". Lineage: Eukaryota; Viridiplantae; Streptophyta; Magnoliopsida; Brassicales; Brassicaceae. The record is from RNAcentral.
GGUUGUGGAGAAAGAGAGAAGAAUGAGUUUGUGCUUGUUACAAAUUGAAAAAGAUGAUGAGUUUGGAGUAUAUAUAUAGUCAGCAUACAAGUCGUAUACCAAACACAUACAACACAAGUCUUAUACAAUGACACUUAUACAAAGCCACUACAACACAAGUCUUAUACAAUGACACUUAUACAAAGCCACUACAAGCCAAGUCCCGUGAGACACUGAUUAUACAACUCCACUUUGCCAAGUCCCGUG